RNAcentral lists this non-coding RNA (105 nucleotides) under [Clostridium] symbiosum. Its description in RNAcentral is "Clostridium symbiosum TPP sequence". It matches the Rfam family "TPP riboswitch aptamer (THI element)". From Rfam's summary of the family: Vitamin B(1) in its active form thiamin pyrophosphate (TPP) is an essential coenzyme that is synthesised by coupling of pyrimidine and thiazole moieties in bacteria. The previously detected thiamin-regulatory element, thi box was extended, resulting in a new, highly conserved RNA secondary structure, the THI element, which is widely distributed in eubacteria and also occurs in some archaea. Lineage: Bacteria; Bacillati; Bacillota; Clostridia; Lachnospirales; Lachnospiraceae. The record is from RNAcentral. RNAcentral also lists the same sequence under 1 other name.
CCAAAUUGCAAGGGAGUUCUCGUAAGAGGGCUGAGAGGAGGGUGUAUUCCCUCGACCUCACCUGAUUUGGAUAAUGCCAACGUAGGGAUGCAACGACAAUCUACA